UACGAAGGGGGCGAGCGUUGUUCGGAAUUACUGGGCGUAAAGGGCGCGCAGGCGGCUCUGAAAGUCAGAUGUGAAAGCCCCGGGCUUAACCUGGGAAUUGCAUUUGAUACUCUGGAGCUUGAGUACGGGAGAGGAGAGUGGAAUUCCCAGUGUAGAGGUGAAAUUCGUAGAUAUUGGGAAGAACACCGGUGGCGAAGGCGGCUCUCUGGACCGUAACUGACGCUGAGGCGCGGAAAGCGUGGGGAGCAAACAGG
RNAcentral lists this ribosomal RNA (254 nucleotides) under uncultured bacterium. RNAcentral's name for it is "partial 16S ribosomal RNA". It matches the Rfam family "Bacterial small subunit ribosomal RNA", at positions 524 to 776 of the family's 1533-position model. The record is from RNAcentral.